UUUUAUUAAAAAAUAAAGACAAAGAUGCAAACAUAAUGGCAAUCCUAUAUUAUUAACAUGAAAUGCUCAUGCAAAUGCACCCCCAAACCUGAAUUGGACAUUGUGCUCAAUGACAAGAUCAUCAUCACAAUACAUAUUAUAGCAAGGCAUUCUUAAAGGUUAGGGGUACUCCCCUUUGUAGCGUGCCUAUGCACUUGUGUGAGUUUGCAACUCGUCCUCAGUCAUUUCAUCUCUCUUGUCUUCUUCAAUGUGCCUACAAAAAGUAAACAACGUCCAUUCAAACUUUGAAAAUAUAGUGAGGAUUAAAAUUGACUCAAAAAAUAAAGAAAAUAAAAAGAAUUUUGCUUGGGUUAUCUCCCAAGAAGCGCUAGUUUAUAGUCGUUAGCUUGACUAUCCCAAUGCAUUAUGUCAGUGAUAUGGAGGUUUUUGGUUGCUCAAAUCCUCCAUCUAUGUAUUCCUUCAACCUUUACCUAUUGACCUUGAAGGUCCUAUCACCACUCUUCAGCUCAACAGCUCCAUGUGGAAAAACUUGUAUAAUCUCAAAUGGACCUGACCACCUAGAC
RNAcentral lists this long non-coding RNA (563 nucleotides) under Elaeis guineensis (African oil palm). Its description in RNAcentral is "long non-coding RNA (EGUI_LNC047915)". The record is from RNAcentral. Lineage: Eukaryota; Viridiplantae; Streptophyta; Magnoliopsida; Arecales; Arecaceae.